UGUAACUGACACUGAGGCUCGAAAGCGUGGGAGCAAAACAGGAUUAGAUACCCUGGUAGUCCACGCGGUAAACGAUGAAUACUAGAUGUCGGGUAGCAAAGCUACUCGGUGUCGUCGCAAACGCAAUAAGUAUUCCACCUGGGGAGUACGUUCGCAAGAAUGAAACUCAAAGGAAUUGACGGGGACCCGCACAAGCAGUGGAGCAUGUGGUUUAAUUCGAAGCAACGCGAAGAACCUUACCUGCUCUUGACAUCCCAUUCGAUAGAGGGUAAUGCCUCUAGCCCUUCGGGGGAAUGGAGACAGGUGGUGCAUGGUUGUCGUCAGCUCGUGUCGUGAGAUGUUGGGUUAAGUCCCGCAACGAGCGCAACCCUUAUUGUCAGUAGCCAGCAGGUCGCGCUGGGCACUCUGAUGAGACUGCCGGGGAUAACCCGGAGGAAGGUGGGGAUGACGUCAAAUCAUCAUGCCCCUUAUGAGCAGGGCUACACACGUGCUACAAUGGCGUAAACGGAGGGAAGCGAAGGAGUGAUCUGGAGCAAAUCCCAAAAAUAACGUCUCAGUUCGGAUUGUAGUCUGCAACUCGACUACAUGAAGCUGGAAUCGCUAGUAAUCGCAGAUCAGAAUGCUGCGGUGAAUACGUUCCCGGGUCUUGUACACACCGCCCGUCACACCAUGGGAGUCGGUAAUGCCCGAAGUCAGUGACUCAACCGAAAGGAGAGA
Molecule: ribosomal RNA, 717 nt
Filed under: uncultured Lachnospiraceae bacterium
Lineage: Bacteria; Bacillati; Bacillota; Clostridia; Lachnospirales; Lachnospiraceae
Description: bacterial SSU rRNA
Rfam family: Bacterial small subunit ribosomal RNA
Source: RNAcentral